AUGGCGGAAUCCGAAAAGCCAAAUCUCAAACAGAGUAGGGU
RNAcentral lists this non-coding RNA (41 nucleotides) under unclassified sequences. RNAcentral's name for it is "DUF805b RNA". It matches the Rfam family "DUF805b RNA". Rfam says of the family: Bacteroidetes, Chlorobi (1 example), Proteobacteria. Lineage (Flavobacteria) The record is from RNAcentral.